UUGGUUAAGUUAGAAAGGGCGCACGGUGGAUGCCUUGGCACUAGGAGCCGAAGAAGGACGGGACUAACACCGAUAUGCUUUGGGGAGCUGUACGUAAGCGUUGAUCCAGAGAUUUCCGAAUGGGGGAACCCACUAUCUUUAGUCGGAUAGUAUCCUUACGUGAAUACAUAGCGUGAGGAAGGCAGACCCAGGGAACUGAAACAUCUAAGUACCUGGAGGAAGAGAAAGAAAAAUCGAUUUCCUGAGUAGCGGCGAGCGAAACGGAAAGAGCCCAAACCAAGAAGCUUGCUUCUUGGGGUUGUAGGACACUCUAUACGGAGUUACAAAAGAAAGUUAUAAAUGAAGCGGUCUGGAAAGGCCCGCCAAAGACGGUAACAGCCCGGUAGUUGAAAUGGCUUUCCCUCCAGAGUGGAUCCUGAGUACGGCGGAACACGUGAAAUUCCGUCGGAAUCCGGGAGGACCAUCUCCCAAGGCUAAAUACUCCCUAGUGACCGAUAGUGAACCAGUACCGUGAGGGAAAGGUGAAAAGCACCCCGGAAGGGGAGUGAAACAGUUCCUGAAACCGUGUGCCUACAAGUAGUUAGAGCCCGUUAAUGGGUGAUAGCGUGCCUUUUGUAGAAUGAACCGGCGAGUUACGAUUUGUUGCAAGGUUAAGCGGAAAAAGCGGAGCCGUAGCGAAAGCGAGUCUGAAUAGGGCGCAUAAGUAACAGGUCGUAGACCCGAAACCAGGUGAUCUACCCAUGUCCAGGAUGAAGGUAAGGUAAUACUUACUGGAGGUCCGAACCCACGCACGUUGAAAAGUGCGGGGAUGAGGUGUGGGUAGCGGAGAAAUUCCAAUCGAACUUGGAGAUAGCUGGUUCUCUCCGAAAUAGCUUUAGGGCUAGCCUCGAGGUAAAGAGUCAUGGAGGUAGAGCACUGUUUGGACUAGGGGCCCUUCUCGGGUUACCGAAUUCAGAUAAACUCCGAAUGCCAUGUACUUAUACUCGGGAGUCAGACUGCGAGUGAUAAGAUCCGU
Molecule: ribosomal RNA, 1015 nt
Filed under: Listeria monocytogenes
Lineage: Bacteria; Bacillati; Bacillota; Bacilli; Caryophanales; Listeriaceae
Description: partial 23S ribosomal RNA
Rfam family: Bacterial large subunit ribosomal RNA
Source: RNAcentral